UACGGAGGGGGCUAGCGUUAUUCGGAAUUACUGGGCGUAAAGCGUACGUAGGCGGUUAUUCAAGUCAGAGGUGAAAGCCUGGAGCUCAACUCCAGAACUGCCUUUGAAACUGGAUAGCUUGAAUCAUGGAGAGGUUAGUGGAAUUCCGAGUGUAGAGGUGAAAUUCGUAGAUAUUCGGAAGAACACCAGUGGCGAAGGCGACUAACUGGACAUGCAUUGACGCUGAGGUACGAAAGCGUGGGGAGCAAACAGG
This 253-nucleotide ribosomal RNA is filed under the name uncultured bacterium. RNAcentral describes it as "partial 16S ribosomal RNA". It matches the Rfam family "Bacterial small subunit ribosomal RNA", at positions 524 to 776 of the family's 1533-position model. The record is from RNAcentral.